Molecule: long non-coding RNA, 1239 nt
Filed under: Chinchilla lanigera (long-tailed chinchilla)
Lineage: Eukaryota; Metazoa; Chordata; Mammalia; Rodentia; Chinchillidae
Description: lncRNA (ENSCLAG00000028148.1)
Source: RNAcentral
GGGACAGCGAUGUCCUCAGCUGUCCACAUGAGGUUCAGAGCCCAGCUCACAGUGAUGUCCACAGUGAUGUUUCCAGUGAUGUCUGCGUUUCAUCCCCAGUGAUGUCUACAGUGACAUCCACAGGGAUGCCAGCUUGUCCAUAGUAAUAGUGGACAGUGGUGGCACUCUGGAUAAGAAGAAAAAGCAUGGACACAGAACAUGUCUGGGGGCAUGAGGAUCUUGGCAGUGGGCAGCAUUCAAUUCACCGGACCCAGUGGGAUAAACUUAGAACACAUCGGCACUCAGUGGUCGACGGUCACUGUUUCUGAUCAUCAGUUUCCUACUGUGGACUCAGCUCCAGCAGGACUAGGUGAAGACAGACAUUGGCAGGGAAACUCUGCCUUUCUCUGCCUGAAACCAACCCCGUCUGCUGAGUCCAUGGGAGCGUUCAUUCUGCGUGAUGGAACGAAGGGCUGCUUGAUUCUAGAAUAAAAAAUAAAAGAGGGCUCAGUGGGUUGCAGGUGAGACCAAGCGUCAUCAGCCCUGAAGAGCUCCAGAGUGGCAGAGCAGCAAAGAGCCAAGAGCUUCGGUGACCUGCAAGGAUCUGAAGAGACAGUGGAAGAGCUCCAGAGAGGCUGUGGAAGUUGCUGGAAGAGCUCCUGAAAGCUGCCAAGGGGUCUCUGAGCCCUGACUGCAAGGAUCUGAUGGGGUGGCUAAGAUGCUGAAGGAGAGGUAAUACCAAGAGCUCAGAGGCACUGGUACUCAAAGCUCACAGCUGUACUUACUAAGGCAGCUGUAUUUGCUAAGUUCUAUUUUUUUUUUUUUUUUUGAGACACAAUUUUACUAUGCAGUUCAGGCUGAGCUUGAACUUACUUUGUAGCCCAGGCUGGCCUCAGACUUGCAGCAAUCCUCCUGCCUCAGUCUCCAGAGUGUUGGGACUAUGGGCGUGUGCUGCCGUGCCUGGUUUAAAUUCUGAUUUUUAUCUAAAUUGAGAAAAAGAACCUUCAGCCAGUUAGCAACAAGGACCGAGCCUUUCCUGGUGAUUCCCUCACCCUUCUCAGACCAUGGAUCACAGAACAGCCUCCCGUCAUCUGGCACCAUGUGUGACUCUGAGGAAGGGGCUGGUAGUCUGAGGGGAUCUCAAGAAGGAUGUGGGGGGCUAGGACCCCACUGCAGUACUUCCUGCAUUCUGCAUAGAGAUUACAGGGCACAGUCUCUGGAGCAUGGCCUGUGUUUCCUGUGGUGUUUUCACAUUUCAUU